Molecule: ribosomal RNA, 525 nt
Filed under: Enterococcus casseliflavus
Lineage: Bacteria; Bacillati; Bacillota; Bacilli; Lactobacillales; Enterococcaceae
Description: bacterial SSU rRNA
Rfam family: Bacterial small subunit ribosomal RNA
Source: RNAcentral
UGCAGUCGAACGCUUUUUCUUUCACCGGAGCUUGCUCCACCGAAAGAAAAAGAGUGGAGAACGGGUGAGUAACACGUGGGUAACCUGCCCAUCAGAAGGGGAUAACACUUGGAAACAGGUGCUAAUACCGUAUAACACUAUUUUCCGCAUGGAAGAAAGUUGAAAGGCGCUUUUGCGUCACUGAUGGAUGGACCCGCGGUGCAUUAGCUAGUUGGUGAGGUAACGGCUCACCAAGGCAACGAUGCAUAGCCGACCUGAGAGGGUGAUCGGCCACACUGGGACUGAGACACGGCCCAGACUCCUACGGGAGGCAGCAGUAGGGAAUCUUCGGCAAUGGACGAAAGUCUGACCGAGCAACGCCGCGUGAGUGAAGAAGGUUUUCGGAUCGUAAAACUCUGUUGUUAGAGAAGAACAAGGAUGAGAGUAAAUUGUUCAUCCCUUGACGGUAUCUAACCAGAAAGCCACGGCUAACUACGUGCCAGCAGCCGCGGUAAUACGUAGGUGGCAAGCGUUGUCCGGAUUUAU